CUCCAACUUGGAGAUCAUUAUCCUCUCACUCUCUCGUUCUCUCUCCUAGGUUCCCAGCCGGCGUUGCUGCUCUCCCUCUCUGCAAGGCAGCGUGUGGCAGCCGGCUGGAGAGUAGCAGGGCUCGUUGGCCGGUGGGAGUAGAGUGGCUGCUCUUCUCUCCCUCCCAGAUCUCCACCCCCUCGGCUCCGGCUCACUCGCCUCUGGCCGACGAGGAGGGCCACGGGCGGAGCGAAGCGAAGCGGCGGACGGGCGAGCGAGGCGGGUGGGCGGGGAGCAAACCAACGGCGACCUCUUUCCCUCCCGCAUGCAUCCCGUUGUCUCUCCGCUGCCCUCUUGCGUGGAUCUGCCACCGGCGCCUGGAUCCCAUCCUCUCCGCCCUCCCCUCGCGCGGAUCCGCCAUUGGCGUUGACGGGAGGGGUGGAUCCGGUGACCUCUUCUCCUCCCGCAUGGAUCCCGUCAUCUCCCCGCUCCCUGCUCGCGCGGAUCCGCCGCUAGCGACAACAGGAGGGGCGGACCCAGCAGCCUCUCCUACGGUGACUACAACGAUUGGUGGACGUGGGCUGACCCAGUUCCCGGCAUCUGCUGCGGCGGCGACAGCGAAGUUGCCGAGGAUGGCAUCACGUGCGACUUCCUGCUCAAGCUGCUCCGGGCGGGGAGCAUGGUGGGUGCCGACGCGGCUCUGCUGCAGGAGCUGGAAUCCAGGGCGGUGCAUACCUCGCCUAGUCAGCUCUCGAGGCCGGGCUGCGGCCGACUGACUUCGAGGAGAUCUCGCCCGCGCCGUGCUUGCCAACGACCGACGUCCUUGACUCGCCGUCAGUUCCAGCCAUAACCGCCUAGCAUGGAAGCACACCAGAUAAGCACAUGGAUUUUGUUGGGCUACUGUGUUGUAACACAAGUUUGCCAAACAUUUAUGUGGCAUCAACAUCUAUCUUGGAAGUUGAAGCUGUAGAUAAACAUUAUCAACAACAAAAGCAGGAUGUAUCUUCUCGAAAACAACGGAAAAAGAUUUGGAUACAUAUUGGUAUGAGCAGACAGACCUCAAUCCCUGCACUGCACAACUGCAUUGCUCUUCGCAGGUGAAACGAAUCUAGACAUUACCACUAUAUGUUAAUUAAUUAGAUGGUACUUUUAGUUCAUUCAUAAACUACCUUACAAGUCUUGAUUAAUGGAAGUGUUUAUGUUAGUAAUUAUUCAAGCUCCUUGGGUAGAAUCUAAUGAAAUUGAAAUUGCAUACAAGGUUGAGUUCAUUGAUAACCUGAAAUCGACAUUGAUUGGAGGUGCCUUGACGUCCUAGAGGAAGAGCCUUACGAUUUAUAUUUUCUUGUAUUUUGGCCUGAGAAAAAAAUCUGUACAAUCAUGUUAGUGGGAGUGCUAGCUAAAAAUAGUGGAAAGAAAAGCGGGAUAGAAUCUGACUCGAGAUAGAAUAUGACUCCUGAAAGCUGGAGUAGGAAACAGUGUGGGGGAACCAGCCUGACUCGACGAAAGAAAAGCGGGAUAUAAUCUGACUCGGGGUAGAAUCUGACUCCUGACGUGGGCUGGGCAAAUUCCCUGACGUGGGUAUAUUCCUGUGUUCUAUUUUGAACCUGAUUUGUGCGUGAACCUGAACCUAGACUCCUGUGUUAUUUUUUGUUUUUUAUUUGUUCCUGGACUCCUGUGUUUUUGAACCUGAUUUGUAUGUGAACCUGAA
This is an RNA transcript of Oryza sativa Japonica Group (Japanese rice), 1687 nucleotides long. RefSeq lists it as uncharacterized. The record is from RefSeq and is a predicted model, not a curated record. NCBI's taxonomy places the organism in Eukaryota, Viridiplantae, Streptophyta, Magnoliopsida, Poales, Poaceae.